Molecule: ribosomal RNA, 460 nt
Filed under: uncultured bacterium
Lineage: Bacteria
Description: partial 16S ribosomal RNA
Rfam family: Bacterial small subunit ribosomal RNA
Source: RNAcentral
CCUACGGGAGGCUGCAGUGAGGAAUAUUGGUCAAUGGACGAGAGUCUGAACCAGCCAAGUAGCGUGAAGGAUGACUGCCCUAUGGGUUGUAAACUUCUUUUAUAUGGGAAUAAAAUGUUCCACGUGUGGGAUUUUGUAUGUACCUUAUGAAUAAGGAUCGGCUAACUCCGUGCCAGCAGCCGCGGUAAUACGGAGGAUCCGAGCGUUAUCCGGAUUUAUUGGGUUUAAAGGGAGCGUAGGUGGAUUGUUAAGUCAGUUGUGAAAGUUUGCGGCUCAACCGUAAAAUUGCAGUUGAUACUGGCAGUCUUGAGUACAGUAGAGGUGGGCGGAAUGCGUGGUGUAGCGGUGAAAUGCUUAGAUAUCACGAAGAACUCCGAUUGCGAAGGCAGUUCACUGGACUGCAACUGACACUGAGGCUCGAAAGUGUGGGUAUCAAACAGGAUUAGAUACCCUAGUAGUC